GACGAACGCUGGCGGCGUGCUUAACACAUGCAAGUCGAACGGAAAGGCCCUGCUUUUGUGGGGUGCUCGAGUGGCGAACGGGUGAGUAACACGUGAGUAACCUGCCCUUGACUUUGGGAUAACUUCAGGAAACUGGGGCUAAUACCGGAUAGGAGCUCCUGCUGCAUGGUGGGGGUUGGAAAGUUUCGGCGGUUGGGGAUGGACUCGCGGCUUAUCAGCUUGUUGGUGGGGUAGUGGCUUACCAAGGCUUUGACGGGUAGCCGGCCUGAGGGGGUGACCGGCCACAUUGGGACUGAGAUACGGCCGAGACUCCUACGGGAGGCAGCAGUGGGGAAUAUUGCACAAUGGGCGGAAGCCUGAUGCAGCAACGCCGCGUGCGGGAUGACGGCCUUCGGGUUGUAAACCGCUUUCGCCUGUGACGAAGCGUGAGUGACGGUAAUGGGUAAAGAAGCACCGGCUAACUACGUG
RNAcentral lists this ribosomal RNA (468 nucleotides) under uncultured bacterium. Its description in RNAcentral is "partial 16S ribosomal RNA". It matches the Rfam family "Bacterial small subunit ribosomal RNA", at positions 28 to 507 of the family's 1533-position model. The record is from RNAcentral.